Molecule: long non-coding RNA, 338 nt
Filed under: Homo sapiens (human)
Lineage: Eukaryota; Metazoa; Chordata; Mammalia; Primates; Hominidae
Description: novel transcript, antisense to ITPR1
Source: RNAcentral
GCAAUGGACCCAGCUCACGGGAGCUUGCAGUCUAACACAGGAAACAGCCACCUGCAUCUGUAAAGGUACUGAUGAGACCUCUUUAGUAUGACACUGGCAACUGACGGCACUGCGGAUAUGUUUGGAAUAAGGUUCAAAAGAAGAGGCUGUUCUAAGAAAGACUACCGAGUAAUCAAUCACCUCCUCAGAGAAAGUCUGCUCAGGGACCAGCUCUGUGAACACGGCAAGUAACAACAGAGAGAAAACGUGAGGAGAAAAGAGAGACCGGGAUUUUGAAAUCCUGUUUCCUGAAUGCCAUCUCACCAGGCACACGAAAGAAUAAAAUUAAGGAAUCAAGA